RNAcentral lists this non-coding RNA (45 nucleotides) under Echinostoma caproni. The record is from RNAcentral. Lineage: Eukaryota; Metazoa; Platyhelminthes; Trematoda; Plagiorchiida; Echinostomatidae.
AUUACUGAUGAGACCCAGACAGAUCGAAACAGCUGUCCAAAGAAU